AUACAGAGGGUGCGAGCGUUAAUAGGAAUUACUGGGCGUAAAGCGCGCGUAGGCGGUCUAUUAAGUCAGAUGUGAAAUCCCAGGGCUCAACCUUGGAACUGCAUCUGAUACUGGUAGACUAGAGUUUUGGAGAGGGAAGUAGAAUUUCAGGUGUAGCGGUGAAAUGCAUAGAGAUCUGAAGGAAUACCAGUGGCGAAGGCGACUUCCUGGCCAAAAACUGACGCUGAGGUGCGAAAGCGUGGGUAGCAAACGGGAUUAGAAACCCUAGUAGUCC
Molecule: ribosomal RNA, 274 nt
Filed under: uncultured bacterium
Lineage: Bacteria
Description: partial 16S ribosomal RNA
Rfam family: Bacterial small subunit ribosomal RNA
Source: RNAcentral